UUAGCUGUGGCAGUUGUCCAGUGAAUAUUGUCGGGGCGGUGACAAACUGUUUUGCAGGGAUUGGGCUGAGGAAGGGGAGGUGAAGAGAGAUGCAGUGAUUAAUGGCUGCCAAGUUCCUCUUCUCCUCCUGUUGAAGAUUGGGUGAGUGGUUGAUAAGAGGCACAAAAAUGCCAGCGUUAGGGAAGGCAGUCUGUGCUCUCUUAAAUAACAUUCUUAAUUGUUUGUUGGUGGUUUUAUGUGGGUCUUGAUUUCUGUUGUUUAGCCCCACGGACAGCACCACCACCUUUAUAUGUGGAUGAGGGGGAGUGUUUUCCAGGAGCCUCCAAAAAUGGUGCUGGGUGCGGCAGGAUCGGGUGGCUUUGUGGAUCCCGCUGGCCAGAGUGUUACCACUUUCUCUGGCUGAGGAUCCAGACGCAGGCCCGAUGUUACUGCCGGUCCUGUAGGAGGAGCAGAUGGAGCAGGAGUUAGGACUCUAAUGGGUACUGUGAAAUCACAAGAAGUGAGUUUGAGGCAGAUCCGAAUGUGUGUGGUCCUCCACGCACCCGAGACACAUGACACGGCUGUUGCCGAUCUCCAGGCUGAAAACAUCCGAGACGUCAGAGGAAUAAAGGUGGCAUUUCUUUUAGGGAAAAGAUGAGUGACUCAGAGCGAACCUUCCUAGAUGUUGCCAUCAUGGAAGUCCUACCAGAACUUCCAGCAGCAAACAAAAAUAUCCUGGUGGAGCACUUGCAGUCCAUUGGAGUCAAGACGUGUGAUGAUCUACGCUUUGUAACAGAGGCUGAUUUGAUGACUGCAUUAAGACCUGUACAAGCCAGAAAGCUCCUGUCUGUUUGGAAAUACCAAACUCCUGAAAACAGCUCACUGACAUCUGUGGAAGCCUCACCUACCCAAUCGCUGUCAUCGCUCUGUUUCACCCCGAAGUUCAUCAACCUCCUCCACCAGCCCAGGACUUGACACACAGUGGGACUACAACUUUGAAAUUCCAUGGAGUAAAAUUCCUGAGGAAUUGAUGGAUUCUUUGGAGAGGAGAAAAAGGCCAGGCCCAAGACUGAGGAGGCAAAUGGUCCGGAUUGUUGUGACUCAGAUGAUGAAAAAAAUGCCCUCAUGUAGGUAAAAAACAUUCAACUGACGUUGCAAGAAAAAUGGUGGCAAAAUAUCCCAGUUUUCUGCAAGAUGUAAUCGAGGGCGAUAUUGUUGGAACAGGCUACCAUUCUCUUGUCAAACAGUUGCAAAACAGAAUUGAAAAUGUGAGGCGCACUUCGACACCCAAAAUAAGAAAAAGAAAACAUCAGGCUGAUGACUCAGACACAGAUGAGAUCCUGUUAGAAGAGAGAGCAGCAAUGCAGGACACUUACAGAUGCAUUAAAUGGAAUGUAAAGUUUCUGCCCCGUGAAGAAACUCUACAGAGCCAGCAGCAAAAGAUGGAAAAGCUUAAGGUGAUGUUCCAGCACUCUGAUGCCAAUCCAGAGGAGGUAAAAUGUCUGAUGAAGUCCACUUUUUACACACAGCGUCAACAUGUCAACCAGGGGAAAAGUAUCAAAUACCUUAGAGAGGAGUGGCCGUUUUUGUUUGAUGAACUUGGCAUGUCAGUCCACUUCAAGGAACUCACUGGGAUUGACCUCAAAGAGACAUUCACACAAAAUUUGGAUUUGAAAGGGAAAAGGCUUCUCAACUACAUGACCACAGUUUGUGUCAGCAAGAGCACAAAGUUCCUUCAGACUUACACAAGGCUUCAGAGGAUGCGGGGACAGCAAAGUGGCUGCUGAGAUGAUGUGAAAGAGAUGCUCCUGCUUCUGCUCAGCUACUUCGAUGAGAAGGAGGAGUCCAUGUUCUUCCAUGUAGAACAUACAUGUCUGGCAGAAGAGGUCCAACUGGAGCAAGUGCCUCUGACACCCACUGUUAUUGUCUAUGUCCUGCUAUUCCUCAACAAGGUACAUGCCAAGUCUGGAUCGGAACCUUGUCAACACAAACAUCUCCUCCUUCAUUUCUGCAUUGUGCCUCAUGUUCGGGAGCGACUAUUGUUUCAACAUUCACUAUCCAUUUGAGCUGGCUUCAACUCUGGAGUUUCUUCAAAGGUGUUUCUUCUCCAUUAACCUUGAAAAAGGAACCAAAGUAGAAAACAAAAACUCGAAGCAUCGUCUCAACAUGAACCCUUGUGUCCUCACCCUGAUACAGGAUCUCUCAUGAGUGGUGUCAAACCUAAACAUGGACUCUUUCUGUGGACCCUGACUGCUUGUUUGAGAAGAGACCAAGCAGGAGGCGACGAAGGCUCGAAUGUCUGCCGCCAUGGAUGGCCACCAGAAGCAUUGCUGGAUGAGCGACAAUGUCCUAUGCACCCCUGGGUGGCAGGCUAUCCGGGAGGUGUGCCCCCAGAGGAGUACUGGGGUGCGGACAGGGGGCGGGACGAACAGCCGUCCGGGAGGACAGCCGUCCGGGAGGACAUCCGUCCGGCGCCUGGUGGUCCUUCAGUGCGUCGGUGACUUCCUGCUCCACCUGCCACCGGACCGCCCCUACCACACACACAGGGGGAAGGAUCGUCUCCGCGUUGUCCUCACCCUCCUCCGUGGCGAACUGACGAGAGAGGGCGUCAGGCUUUCGGUUACGGGAACCCGGGCGGCCGGGCGUAACACUCGUCAAUGUGGACAACAUCAGCAAGCCCUAACACAAAGAUGGGCAAAGCGUCCCAUGACAUCUGACGUGUCCACAGAAAACAACUGUUCCUCUCAGCCCCUGAUUAUGUCUUCAUCUCUGAGGACUCUCCUGGAUUGUCAACACCUCCACCCUGGUCAAAAAGUGACAACAGCAGCUUCACCGUGUGGUAUGGCGCCUGCUCCAUGUCCUGCAGAAAGAACCUCCAGCGCAUCGUGAGCAGCUGAGAAGAUCGUUGGUGCUUCUCUCCCCUCCCUCCAAAACCUCUACACCUCUCGCCUCACCCGCAAAGCCCUUUGCAUUGCGAGAGACCCCACCCACCCGUCACACAGCCUCUUCAGUCUGCUGCCAUCAGGGAGGAGACUGCAGAGCCUGCGGGCCAAGACCAGCAGACUGCGGGACAGCUUUGCCCACUCU
This is an RNA transcript of Chelmon rostratus (copperband butterflyfish), 3066 nucleotides long. RefSeq lists it as uncharacterized. The record is from RefSeq and is a predicted model, not a curated record. Lineage: Eukaryota; Metazoa; Chordata; Actinopteri; Chaetodontiformes; Chaetodontidae. The transcript is spliced from 10 exons.